ACUUAUAUAGUAUAUUAUGUAUAUAUGACUUCCAAUCAUGAGGACUAAUUUUAAUUAGUAUAAGUA
RNAcentral lists this transfer RNA (66 nucleotides) under Coboldia fuscipes. RNAcentral's name for it is "tRNA-Gly". The record is from RNAcentral. Lineage: Eukaryota; Metazoa; Arthropoda; Insecta; Diptera; Scatopsidae.